GACGAACGCUGGCGGCGUGCCUAACACAUGCAAGUCGAACGGUAACAGGUCUUCGGAUGCUGACGAGUGGCGAACGGGUGAGUAAUACAUCGGAACGUGCCCGAUCGUGGGGGAUAACGCAGCGAAAGCUGUGCUAAUACCGCAUACGAUCUACGGAUGAAAGCGGGGGAUCGCAAGACCUCGCGCGGACGGAGCGGCCGAUGGCAGAUUAGGUAGUUGGUGGGAUAAAAGCUUACCAAGCCGACGAUCUGUAGCUGGUCUGAGAGGACGACCAGCCACACUGGGACUGAGACACGGCCCAGACUCCUACGGGAGGCAGCAGUGGGGAAUUUUGGACAAUGGGCGCAAGCCUGAUCCAGCCAUGCCGCGUGCAGGAUGAAGGCCUUCGGGUUGUAAACUAGCUUUUGUUACGGAACGAAAAGACUACUCUCUAAUACAGGGGUGAAGUGACGGUACCGUAAGAAUAAAGCAACCGGCUAACUAACGUGCCAGCAGCCGAC
Molecule: ribosomal RNA, 500 nt
Filed under: uncultured bacterium
Lineage: Bacteria
Description: bacterial SSU rRNA
Rfam family: Bacterial small subunit ribosomal RNA
Source: RNAcentral